Long non-coding RNA from Suricata suricatta (meerkat), 324 nucleotides. RefSeq lists it as uncharacterized. The record is from RefSeq and is a predicted model, not a curated record. The transcript has 2 exons. Lineage: Eukaryota; Metazoa; Chordata; Mammalia; Carnivora; Herpestidae.
UCCAGCCGAAUACGAGAGUUACAGUUGCCAUGUAGAUAUUCUCAAGAGAGUUAAGGUCCAGGUGAAGAAGAUACAGAGGGGAAUAAAAAUACUGCUUCGUGGAAAAUCAAGAAAAAAUGCUCUCAUACCAUUACAACAAUUCCAAGAAAGGUGAAGAGAGUGAAAAAAGCCAAGAAGUUUUGGCCUUUUACAAAGAUUGAGUAGUGGCCUAAGCUCAAAUCACUGAGGUCAGGCCCCGAAGACACUACGAAAUGACAAUCCUACAAGAUCCAACACCAUUAUAAAACAGAGAUGGUGAUGAUUAAAAUAAAAUCAACAACCUUU